RNAcentral lists this ribosomal RNA (301 nucleotides) under uncultured bacterium. RNAcentral's name for it is "partial 16S ribosomal RNA". It matches the Rfam family "Bacterial small subunit ribosomal RNA", at positions 509 to 807 of the family's 1533-position model. The record is from RNAcentral.
CAGCCGCCGCGGUAAUACGGAGGGGGCUAGCGUUGUUCGGAAUUACUGGGCGUAAAGCGCACGUAGGCGGCUUGGUAAGUUAGAGGUGAAAGCCUGGAGCUCAACUCCAGAAUUGCCUUUAAGACUGCCGAGCUAGCAGGUGAGAGAGGUAAGUGGAAUUCCGAGUGUAGAGGUGAAAUUCGUAGAUAUUCGGAAGAACACCAGUGGCGAAGGCGGCUUACUGGCUCAUACUGGACGCUGAGGUGCGAAAGCGUGGGGAGCAAACAGGAUUAGAUACCCGCGUAGUCCCUGUCUCUUAUAC